ACGUUCCCCACUAUUCUUCAAUAGCUUUUGGUCUCCAUUCUCAUCUCCUGGUUUCCAGUGAGAUGAACCCUAAUUCCAACUGGUCUUAAUAGUUUCAUCUCUUUCUUUUUCUUCUAUUGAUUUUUUGUUUUAAUUCCUUUUAUUGCCUUUCUGAAAAAAAGUAAUUGCCUUGUUGAUUUGCAAGCAAAUUUUGGUAAAGUUCUUAAAUAUUUGAGUUUAGAUCUUCUUUGAGAGUGCCGCUAUGGGAGUGAAGGGUUUUGUUGAAGGAGGCAUAGCCUCAAUCGUGGCCGGGUGUUCGACCCACCCGCUUGAUUUGAUCAAAGUCCGAAUGCAGCUCCAGGGUGAAAGCCAUGUUCCCAAUCCGGCUGUUCAAGCACUCCGCCCUGCUUUAGCCUUUCAGACAACCACUACUACCACCUCCUCUGCUAUCCACAUGCCUCCUCCGCCGGCGCGUGUUGGACCUGUGGCCACCGGGAUCAAGAUCUUCCGGACCGAAGGCGUCGCUGCUCUUUUUUCUGGCGUCUCUGCU
This 529-nucleotide long non-coding RNA is filed under the name Gossypium barbadense (sea-island cotton). Its description in RNAcentral is "long non-coding RNA (GBAR_LNC020853)". Lineage: Eukaryota; Viridiplantae; Streptophyta; Magnoliopsida; Malvales; Malvaceae. The record is from RNAcentral.